UAUAUCGUUUGACUUUUUCUUAUGUUACGGAAGCUGGGGGUUUUCCUUGAUAGCUUGAGAAAGGGCCUUGUAUUGACUUCCAAUUUAUUGAUUUGAGAGAAAUGUUGUAUCUCUCGAAGUUAGAGAAAGGAAAGGGUGACUUAAGCAAAUGAAAUUGAUUUCGUUUUGGUGGAUCAUAAAUUAAAAGUGUAUACUUGUGGGAGCUAGAGGUGUAGCUGCAUGGAUUUGAUGUGAGCAUGAAUUUCAUAUUUAUGCUUCCAAAUAUCACCUAGUUUAGAUUUAAGUUUAGUUGACUGUGUUAGAAGGAUCAACUCUAUGAAGUCACUAAGGGGCUGCUUGGUUGCUUGCAAAGAGAGUGUAAAAUAUUCCAAAUGCAGGGCUUUGAAAAUAUUAAUGUUUGGUUUGAAGUAAAAUAAACUCAAGUGUAAAAUUUUGUUGUAUUUGUAAUACAACAACUAGUUUAUUUUUAGUUUAUAUGGAAUUCCUCUAAUUUGGACGAAUUCCAAAUUCACUAUAAAUUCAUUGCAAUUGCCGCAACUCGGCGCCGCCACGUGUCGACUGCUGACCACCACAGACCACCCAUAGCCGCCGACCACUACCACCAGCCAUUUGUAGCCGUCCGUCACCGUUGGUCACCCACCAUCGCCCACCACUGCCACUGGCCACAUCGCCGCUAAUGUCAGCCACCGACGACUACCUUUUUGCACUUUGCAUUGUAUUUAUUUUACUUAUAUAUAUAUAUAUACAUGCAUUACUUUUACAAUCAUCCAAACAACUCACAAGUAUUCCUUUUACACUGCAUUUCUUAUACACUAUAUUUAUUUUUUCAGGCAACCAAACUGCUCCUAAGAGAAUAAUUGAUUUUUCCUCUUGAGUUCAAGUCGAUCAUAAGUAUCAAUUAAGGUGUAUUGGGCCCUAUGACCAACUAGGGUAAAGUCAAUCCAAUUUUUCAAGGCUACUCAUCCAAACACCAUAGCUCUUUGCUCAAAUUGCCUAGCAAAUUUGGUUAAGCAUCUUAGGUCACUUGCCAACGCAUUUUGGUAAUUUGCCAGAGCUAGGUAAGUCAUGGUGAAGUCAGCCAGGGAUUUUAAAUGGACUUGCCCUUCACUUAGAAGCCAAUAUGUACUCUUGAUGUAUUGCUUAGCUACAUGCUAGUUAGAUUUAUUUUACUAAAAGCAUUUGUAAGACUUAUUAUAUAAUUUUAUUUGUAUUUCUCAAAUGUAGUUUUUAUUAUUUAUUCGUGCCUUGACAUGAAUCUCUUAAUAGGAGAUUAGAUGUUGAGCCUGACACAUUCUAAACUUUUACAAAGUCUUGUACUUUCUCAUAAACUAGCGAAAUCUCACUGUAUCUAACUUCAAAUUCUUUCUUCCUUUAAUUUUUCAUUUUUUUGACUAAUAUGAUUAGUAAGGUUCUGGUGUUAUAAACACUCAUGGAUCCAAAAGCAUCAUAGUGGGAACCCCUGGAAAGAGAUCAAUCCUACUUUUUGAAGAUGGAAGAACUCUCAAGAUUGUCAACCACGUUAUUUGCUAUUUGAAAGAUCAUUUUUCGUUGGGACCCAUACUCUAUGAGUGGAUCUCUGUGGAUGGCACCCAAAUGUCACACCCUAAGCUUCAACAACGACACCCUUUCUACAAGGCAUUGACAUCCAUUCUUGCUUCAUCUUUUGUCGAGGCCUUAUGAUGAUGGAUCCCUUGGCAUGGGUCCCAAGUGGAGAUUCGGCCUUGUAAAUUAUUACAGUAGAUAGCUUCUUCUUAAACUUUGCUUCCUUAGUGCCCACAACAAUUGGCCUUCUAUUUCACUAUUCCCUUGUCUUUCAGAGCUUUGAGAAAUUUCUAUGCUUUAAAAGAUGAAAGUUUUGGCUCUCUAUUCUAAUGCUCUCAGGGCAUGGACUUAGUCAUUUCACAAAAAAGGUUUUGUAAUUAUGCUGUUGGGUUGUUGUACUUAUCUUUAGAUUUUGAACUUUUUUUUCAAUGAGGACAACCUCCUCCGAUUUUAGAGUCCAUGACUAAUUUAGGUGAUUGUAUUGUGGUUAUUGAACUUGCAGUUUUUGUCUUGUCCUUUCAAACCUACCUUAUGGGCAGUCUCUUUCCAGCUGAAAUAGCCUUAGUUUUGUGCCUACCUGGUGUAAAAGACAUAGUGGGAAGCAUGGAGGACUUGGUUAGUAUCAUGAUAGUCUUCUGAGAAGAGAAGAGGCCACUCUUUUUGCAGCAUGAGAAAUAGCCACGGACAAUAUUUGGGGAGGAAGAUUGAACAUGCUAAGGAAAGAGAUAUGCUCUACUAUCUUGAAAUAUUGAAUGCUUCAAAUAAAGUCAUGAGUAACUUGUCUUUACCAUUUCUAAGUUCUUCAAAUGAGGAUUCCAUUUGGCUUCAUCUUUUUUGUCUUGGUCACCCAUCUUUCUUAGUUUUUUAAAUAAUGUAAACUCAUGCGCCCUUUCCCAUUAGUAAUAAAAUAAAUUCUCAUCCUUUUUAAUUAAUCCGUGGUGGUAUAUGGGGACCAUACAUCAUCGUAAAUAUUUUAGGAGCUUGGUAUUUUCUCUUUAAUUGAUGAUAGUACUAGGGUUACAUAGAUAGUCUUGAUUAAAUAAAAAUCCUAACUUAGCAACAUUAUUCCUAAAUUCCACUCCAUGAUUCAAAAAUAGUUUAGUAAAAAUUAAAAACUCUUGGCAAAAAAAUAUAAAAGUUUAUUUUAAUCAAUCAUUGACUUCCUACUUACAAAAGGAAGACAUUAUUCACGAAUCAUCCAACAUAAAUAUACUACACCAAAACUGUGUUGUUGAAAGAAAAAAUGACCGUGUAAUAUACCCAAACAUUAUUAUUCUAAGGAGUGUUCCUCCAUCUUAUUGGGAAGAAGUUGUCCUUAAUGUCACACACAUGAUAAAUAGACCACCCUAACGGGCAUUGUAAUAUACAUCUCUUUUGAAAUGUCAUAUUAAAAUCUAUUUACAUGCCAAAAACUCUAAUGGCUUUAUAUGCACUUAUUUUGUAUAUAUUCAUGGUCAAAAUUGCGAUAAAUUAGACCCUUAGGCUAUGAAGUGUGUAUUUCGUAGCUAUUCUUCUACACAAAAUAGGUGCAAGUGUUAUUAUCUUCCUAGGAUAUUUUAUAUAUUUGUUGAUGCAAACUUUGUUGUAGACAAACCAUACUUCACAAAAUCUUAUCUUUUGGGAGGAUUUCACUUAUGGAAGAAAAAAAUUCAGUUGUGUUUGCUGACAUUCAACAUUGAAGCAGAAGUGUUUGUAAACCAUGACUCUGAAUCUAAAAUCUCAGGCAUGGAAUGAGUUAAAAUCAACAAUAAAAAAGUGAGCUCCUUCCAUAUUUCAGCCAUCUUUAGAUUCUCAAUAAAAUGUUCUUCAUUUCUUAACAAAAGGGUCCUAUAGUUCUAUCCUGCAGUAGGCUUAUUUCACUUACUAUAUAAUUUUUUGCUUUUGCAAGUGUUAUGAUCUUUCUAACUAAAGUUCAUGU
Dendrobium catenatum is the source of this 3460-nucleotide long non-coding RNA. RefSeq lists it as uncharacterized. The record is from RefSeq and is a predicted model, not a curated record. The transcript is spliced from 3 exons. Lineage: Eukaryota; Viridiplantae; Streptophyta; Magnoliopsida; Asparagales; Orchidaceae.